RNAcentral lists this non-coding RNA (97 nucleotides) under Pseudorhodoferax sp. Leaf267. RNAcentral's name for it is "Burkholderia RNA 7 (anti-hemB)". It matches the Rfam family "Burkholderia RNA 7 (anti-hemB)". From Rfam's summary of the family: This RNA motif was identified by computational search in b-proteobacteria Burkholderia. Lineage: Bacteria; Pseudomonadati; Pseudomonadota; Betaproteobacteria; Burkholderiales; Comamonadaceae. The record is from Rfam by way of RNAcentral.
CCACCCGCUUCACCUCCCUGAGCGGGGGCCUCGAAGCUUUCGAGUCGACAGGCUUGCGGCCCCGACCCAUCGCACUGCGCCGGUCGGGGUAUUUUUU